AUGCCUGAGGAUUGGAGUGUGGAAGAGGCAUCAGUGGCAUCUGGUGCUUUUGUUGUCACUCCAAACUUGAUUGCGUGUCCUGCACUGAGUCUUGCAGCUCUGUUAGUGCAGGCACAGCUCAGUGCUGGGAAUGCAGAGGAUUUGGAAGGCUCGCAGCGCUGGGAGCCGGGAGAGGGCGGCAGCGCGGCUCGGAUGCGGGCGCUGAGAGCCGGGGGAGGAGCCCCCCCCCCCCCCCCCCCCCCCCCCCCCCCCCCCCCCCCCCUGAGAGCCGGGGGAGGAGGACACCCCACCCACCCCGAGACACGGAUAGAGACCAGGAUAAAUAACAACCAACCUCAUUCCAGUUCAGGGUUUGCCCGCUUGGCGCUAUCUGACCUGGAACACCAAAUGCUGGAACACAAAUGCUUGGCUCUCUCGGCUGAAUAGCUCAGCUCCUUUAUUACCUUUGCGCCGGCCUGAGGAAUGAAAGGAAAAGAUCCUGGGGCAAAAGGCUUUUCUCAGCAAGCAAACUGUGCAAUGUGCUGCUGAGGAGCUGAUAAUAACUGCGUGAGGAACACAAAACAACCCUUUUGCCCCUCUUCUUACACCUCUUGAAGGAAAUCACUUGUCUGUAUUGGAAGAUCAGCCCAGUCUUUCUCACCUCUUUCUACAGCAAGAAACAAAAUCUGCGAGUUGUCAGCCUGAUUCACAGGCAGAGGGGAUUUAGCAGGACAGGCCUCCUUCUCUAAGCACUUUUAGAAAACACAUAAGCAUUGUAGUUUUGUAAGCUGUUGGAAUAAAUAUAUAUAUAAUGAGGGAGAGGGUGUUGGCUAAGUUUCUUUGGAUAACAAAAGAAGAUGGCUGGGAUCAAAUGAUGUUCUAUUACCUGAAGGCAUCCCAGCAGCAGGAGAGUUAUUGGAUGCUCUGAAAUUCCUCCUGACCCCUCUGUUCCUCAAUAAACCUGCACACAACUUCCUCUGGGGAUGGGCCAAGUAUUGCUCCAUUAGUAUGCAGCACCACAGUUAGCAGGGCAGGAAAAUACACACCAGGAGGAGAGAAAAAUAGAUGAAAAGUGGCAGGAGCAAAGUAAAUGCUUUUUAAAUUCUGGACAGAAACUUCCCUCCACUGAGAUUCCUGUAGGUCUGUGGUGUCACAACAAGAUGUAAAAUAUUCUGAGGUGAGAGGAAGGUUGGUCCAUUUACUCGGGUUCUGUUUCUGUUAAAAAAUGAAUCCUAGACUGGGAGGCAGGGAAAAUUUUUGUGAUAGGGCUAAGAGCCCAAAAAUCAUGACAACGGACAGGGAGUCACAGGGAAUCCUAAAAUCUUCUGAAAGUUUUCUAAUCCAUAAAGUUGUUGUGAAUCAUUCUGGUUCUCUGUGUGGUUACAUAUCCCUGGUGUUUAGCUGUGUGCUAGAUGCUCCACUCUGCAUUGUUUGCCCUAUAUGCAGCAAUAUCUUCAGUUCCCAGACACUACCUCACCUGGCAACCCUGCAGCAUUUACAUCAGCUUAGGGCCUGUCGCCAGAUUUUCUCCUUCAUGUGCCACUACUGUCUCAUCCCUGCCAAAAAAUAAGGACACUGUGUUCAGCUUACACCUAUAAAUAUAAUCUAUCUUAAUUUAUUUUUAUAUGAAUUAACUUAUUUAUGUGAAGGACAGUAGGUUAUUUAGCAUCCAGUUUCUCGGGCAGCACAGAGAGCCACUGAUGAACACAGACCCACCUUCAGCUACACCCUCCUUUUCUCGGGCAGCACAGAGAGCCACUGAUGAACUCAGACCCACCUUCAGCUACACCCUCCUUAUGGCCAGGUGGGCAAUUAACACAGACAUUCAUGCUUCUGCACAGCAACAGACAGUACCAUAAUUGCACAGGAGUUUUACUUACACUUUUUAAAGCAUCUUGUUUGCUUAUCUAUGGUUUUGCUUUUUCACUAGUAAUAAAUACCGAAUAACAGUGAUAAAAAACAAAUAACAUUUUCUUCUGUAUAGCCUGUUCCCAUACUGUCAAGCAAGUAAAUACACCCAGUAUUCGAAGUCAUUGUGACUUUCUGAGACAGAGGUGGCAGCAGCCUGCAAUUAUUCCUGUUCCUUUUAGCUGUCAGCCAUUAGAUUGCCAGCUUCUUCAGGGAAUGGUGUGUUGCAUGGAGGCAGAAAAUACCCACAGAUUUUCUUAUGACAUAUUUGAUUUACAGAAUAUAUCCCACAGGGUGCCCUUCAGGAUCAGGACUUUCCUUAAGAGUAUUCCUUUCAUAUGAGCGCUAACUUCAUGGUGUCACCUAUAGACACUCUGCUUUAGUCAGGUCUCUAUAACAAUGUACCAAAAGAAGAGCUAAAAUAUGAUGGUAAAUUCGUUCCUCCCUUAUCAACCACAAACAGGGUGUGGUGUAUAUGCUAAAAAUGCAGCACCAGGAAAGAGAAGAGUUAACUGUUUAAAAAACCAUGUUAAGUGACACCUAAUUAGUGCUAAUCUCAACUUUUUUUCUCUCUCUCUCUCAUUUCUUUUUUUUCCCCAGAAGUAGAGAAGGUAUGGGAGGAAGAAGGGUAAAAGGGGUCAGCCUACAGUUAAUUGCAUCUUGUUUAGCUGGGUCACUGCAGUUGACCCCAUUCAAAUCUGUGUUGGGUUGACCCUGUCUGGAUGUUGGAUGCCCACUAAAGCAACUCUUAUCACUCCCUUCUCAGCUGCACAGGGCAGAGAAAAUACAAUGAAAGGAUUUAAGGAUAAGAAGAGAACACUCACCAAUUAAAGUCAUGAGCAGAACAGAUUGGACUCAGGGAAAAUUAAUUUAAUUUAUUGCCAAUCAAAUCAGAUUAGAACAGUGAGAAAUUAAACUAAAUCUUAAAAACACCUUCCAACUUCACUCCUGAUUUUCUCCACCUCCUCCCCACAGUGGCCCAGCUUGAUGUGGAAUGGGGUUUGAGGUCAGUUCAUCACACAUUGUCUCUGCUGCUCCCUCCCCCUCAGGAAAAGGACUUCUCACGCUCAUUCCUUGAUCCAGUGUGGGUUCUCUCUCAUGGGAGAUGGACCUCCAUGAGUUUCUGCAAAGUGAAUCCUUCCCAUGGGUUGUAGUUCUCCAUAACUCCUCCAGCAUGGAUUCCUUCCACAGGGUGCACUCCUUUAGGAACUCCAGUGUGGGUCCCCCAUGGGUCACAAGUCCUGCCAGCAAACCUGCUCCAGGGUGGGCUUGUCUCUCCAGGUCCUGAAAGGAGCCUGCUCCAGCACGGGUUUCCCAAAGGGUCACAGCGUUCUUCAGGCACAUCCACCUGGUCUCUCGUGGGCUGGAGGUGGGUGUCUGCUCCACUGUGGACCGGUAUGGGCUGCUGAGGAGCAGCUGCUUCACCAUGGGCUCAGGGAAAUCUGAGCUCCAGGGCCUGAAACACCUCCCUCCUCCCCUUCACUGACCUGGCUGUCUGCAGGGCUGUUUCUCUCACAUGUUCUCACUCCUCUCUCCAGCUGCAUUUACUCUUGUGCAGUAACUUCUUUCCCCUUCUUGUAUACAUUAUCCAGAGGUGCUACUGCUGUCGCUGGUGGGCCCGACCUGACAGUGUAGCAAAUAGGGCAUUGUUUGAGCUCUUUUACCCCAUUCCAGGCAGAGCAUCCUACAAUGUGUUCUACAGGCCCAAAUCUUUUGUUUGCUUCCUCAACUGUUUCCCUACUCACUGAUCCAUGUCCUUGCAAUGCAUGUGAGCAGAAGAUAUAUUUAAGAUGAGAUUUUCCUUUAUACUUCUGAAAUACAAUAUCUACUGAUUGUAUCAAUAAGUUAAAUAAUUGCUUUCUGUCUGGAGUGAACCUUUAUAAAUGAUUAAAUGCUCUAGAAAUAUGACUUCAGUUAGAAACCCUGAUCCUUCAUUGUUCCUCACCUCAAAAUCUUUCUCAUAUAAGCCUACAACAAAGUGCAGAAAUGCCAGCAAACUGUCUGGUAACAAAUGAAAUUCAGGUGACAAAAUCAAAUAUAAUUUAUUUCUUCAGAAUCAUAAAAUGAUAUGGUGGAUGCAGCAUUGUAGAGCCACUGUAAUGCACUAUAAGCUUAAAACAGCAGAUGACGUGGUAAAACCAGUAAAGAUGACUUUAUUUGGGUUAUGGACUUAAUGAAACCCAAAUAUCAACAAGCUUGCUUUUGCCCACUGUAUUGUUUUUGUAUGGCCGGGUUUGGUAGCAGAGGGGUGGCUUCUGUGAGAAGCUGCUAGAAGCUUCCAUGUCCAGCAGAGCCAGUCCCUGGUGUCUCUACAGAUGGAUGUGUUGCUGGCCAAGGCUGGGCCAAUUAGAAAGGGUGAUAAUGCCUCUGUGAUAACAUGUUUAAGAAGAAAUCAAAACAAAUGUUGUGGUGCAGUUGUAAUUUCAACCAGAGAAGAGCAGAGUGAGAACAUGCAAGAAGGACAGCUCUGCAGACACCAAGGGCAGUGCAGAAGGAAGAGCAGGAGGUGCUCCAGGAGCUGGAGCUGAGAUUCCUCUGCAGCCUGUGGUGCAGAACAUGGUGAAGCAGCGGUGCCCUGCAGCCCAUGGGGAUCCAGGGGGAUGCAGAGAUCCACCCACAGCCCGUGGGGAUCCAUGGGGGAUGCAGAGAUGCCCACACCAGAGCAGGUGGAUGCCUGGAGGAGGCUGUGAUCCAGUGGGAGACCCAGGGGAGAGAGGGGUCCCUGCUUCCAGUCC
Ficedula albicollis (Collared flycatcher) is the source of this 4622-nucleotide long non-coding RNA. Lineage: Eukaryota; Metazoa; Chordata; Aves; Passeriformes; Muscicapidae. The record is from Ensembl.